GGUUAAGCGACUAAGCGUACACGGUGGAUGCCCUGGCAGUCAGAGGCGAUGAAGGACGUGCUAAUCUGCGAUAAGCGUCGGUAAGGUGAUAUGAACCGUUAUAACCGGCGAUUUCCGAAUGGGGAAACCCAGUGUGUUUCGACACACUAUCAUUAACUGAAUCCAUAGGUUAAUGAGGCGAACCGGGGAACUGAAACAUCUAAGUACCCCGAGGAAAAGAAAUCAACCGAGAUUCCCCAGUAGCGGCGAGCGAACGGGGAGCAGCCCAGAGCCUGAAUCAGUGUGUGUGUUAGUGGAAGCGUCUGGAAAGGCGCGCGAUACAGGGUGACAGCCCCGUACACAAAAAUGCAUAUACUGUGAGCUCGAUGAGUAGGGCGGGACACGUGGUAUCCUGUCUGAAUAUGGGGGACCAUCCUCCAAGGCUAAAUACUCCUGACUGACCGAUAGUGAACCAGUACCGUGAGGGAAAGGCGAAAAGAACCCCGGCGAGGGAGUGAAAAAGAACCUGAAACCGUGUACGUACAAGCAGUGGGAGCCUCUUUAUGGGGUGACUGCGUACCUUUGUAUAAUGGGUCAGCGACUUAUAUUCUGUAGCAAGGUUAACCGAAUAGGGGAGCCGAAGGGAAACCGAGUCUUAACUGGGCGUUAAGUUGCAGGGUAUAGACCCGAAACCCGGUGAUCUAGCCAUGGGCAGGUUGAAGGUUGGGUAACACUAACUGGAGGACCGAACCGACUAAUGUUGAAAAAUUAGCGGAUGACUUGUGGCUGGGGGUGAAAGGCCAAUCAAACCGGGAGAUAGCUGGUUCUCCCGAAAGCUAUUUAGGUAGCGCCUCGUGAAUUCAUCUCCGGGGUAGAGCACUGUUUCGGCAAGGGGUCAUCCCGACUUACCAACCCGAUGCAAACUGCGAAUACCGGAGAAUGUUAUCACGGGAGACACACGGCGGGUGCUAACGUCCGUCGUGAAGAGGGAAACAACCCAGACCGCCAGCUAAGGUCCCAAAGUCAUGGUUAAGUGGGAAACGAUGUGGGAAGGCCCAGACAGCCAGGAUGUUGGCUUAGAAGCAGCCAUCAUUUAAAGAAAGCGUAAUAGCUCACUGGUCGAGUCGGCCUGCGCGGAAGAUGUAACGGGGCUAAACCAUGCACCGAAGCUGCGGCAGCGACGCUUAUGCGUUGUUGGGUAGGGGAGCGUUCUGUAAGCCUGUGAAGGUGUGCUGUGAGGCAUGCUGGAGGUAUCAGAAGUGCGAAUGCUGACAUAAGUAACGAUAAAGCGGGUGAAAAGCCCGCUCGCCGGAAGACCAAGGGUUCCUGUCCAACGUUAAUCGGGGCAGGGUGAGUCGACCCCUAAGGCGAGGCCGAAAGGCGUAGUCGAUGGGAAACAGGUUAAUAUUCCUGUACUUGGUGUUACUGCGAAGGGGGACGGAGAAGGCUAUGUUGGCCGGGCGACGGUUGUCCCGGUUUAAGCGUGUAGGCUGGUUUUCCAGGCAAAUCCGGAAAAUCAAGGCUGAGGCGUGAUGACGAGGCACUACGGUGCUGAAGCAACAAAUGCCCUGCUUCCAGGAAAAGCCUCUAAGCAUCAGGUAACAUCAAAUCGUACCCCAAACCGACACAGGUGGUCAGGUAGAGAAUACCAAGGCGCUUGAGAGAACUCGGGUGAAGGAACUAGGCAAAAUGGUGCCGUAACUUCGGGAGAAGGCACGCUGAUAUGUAGGUGAAGUCCCUCGCGGAUGGAGCUGAAAUCAGUCGAAGAUACCAGCUGGCUGCAACUGUUUAUUAAAAACACAGCACUGUGCAAACACGAAAGUGGACGUAUACGGUGUGACGCCUGCCCGGUGCCGGAAGGUUAAUUGAUGGGGUUAGCGGUAACGCGAAGCUCUUGAUCGAAGCCCCGGUAAACGGCGGCCGUAACUAUAACGGUCCUAAGGUAGCGAAAUUCCUUGUCGGGUAAGUUCCGACCUGCACGAAUGGCGUAAUGAUGGCCAGGCUGUCUCCACCCGAGACUCAGUGAAAUUGAACUCGCUGUGAAGAUGCAGUGUACCCGCGGCAAGACGGAAAGACCCCGUGAACCUUUACUAUAGCUUGACACUGAACAUUGAGCCUUGAUGUGUAGGAUAGGUGGGAGGCUUUGAAGUGUGGACGCCAGUCUGCAUGGAGCCGACCUUGAAAUACCACCCUUUAAUGUUUGAUGUUCUAACGUUGGCCCCUGAUCGGGGUUGCGGACAGUGUCUGGUGGGUAGUUUGACUGGGGCGGUCUCCUCCUAAAGAGUAACGGAGGAGCACGAAGGUUGGCUAAUCCUGGUCGGACAUCAGGAGGUUAGUGCAAUGGCAUAAGCCAGCUUGACUGCGAGCGUGACGGCGCGAGCAGGUGCGAAAGCAGGUCAUAGUGAUCCGGUGGUUCUGAAUGGAAGGGCCAUCGCUCAACGGAUAAAAGGUACUCCGGGGAUAACAGGCUGAUACCGCCCAAGAGUUCAUAUCGACGGCGGUGUUUGGCACCUCGAUGUCGGCUCAUCACAUCCUGGGGCUGAAGUAGGUCCCAAGGGUAUGGCUGUUCGCCAUUUAAAGUGGUACGCGAGCUGGGUUUAGAACGUCGUGAGACAGUUCGGUCCCUAUCUGCCGUGGGCGCUGGAGAACUGAGGGGCUGCUCCUAGUACGAGAGGACCGGAGUGGACGCAUCACUGGUGUUCGGGUUGUCAUGCCAAUGGCACUGCCUGGUAGCUAAAUGCGGAAGAGAUAAGUGCUGAAAGCAUCUAAGCACGAAACUUGCCCCGAGAUGAGUUCUCCUGACUCCUUGAGAGUCCUGAAGGAACGUUGAAGACGACGACGUUGAUAGGCCGGGUGUGUAAGCGCAGCGAUGCGUUGAGCUAACCGGUACUAAUGAACCGUGAGGCUUAACCUU
RNAcentral lists this ribosomal RNA (2893 nucleotides) under Escherichia coli. Its description in RNAcentral is "23S ribosomal RNA". It matches the Rfam family "Bacterial large subunit ribosomal RNA". Lineage: Bacteria; Pseudomonadati; Pseudomonadota; Gammaproteobacteria; Enterobacterales; Enterobacteriaceae. The record is from RNAcentral.